AAAAAAGGUAAGCUACUAAGAGCGAAUGGUGGAUGCCUUGACUGGUAAAGGCGAUGAAGGACGUACUAGACUGCGAUAAGCUACGGGGAGCUGUCAAGAAGCUUUGAUCCGUAGAUUUCCGAAUGGGGCAACCCAAUGUAUAGAGAUAUACAUUACCUAUAUAGGAGCGAACGAGGGGAAUUGAAACAUCUUAGUACCCUCAGGAAAAGAAAUCAAUAGAGAUUGCGUCAGUAGCGGCGAGCGAAAGCGCAAGAGGGCAAACCCAGUGCUUGCACUGGGGGUUGUAGGACUGCAAUGUGCAAGAGGUGAGUUUAGCAGAACAUUCUGGAAAGUAUAGCCAUAGAGGGUGAUAGUCCCGUAUGCGAAAAACAAACCUUAGCUAGCAGUAUCCUGAGUAGGGCGGGACACGAGAAAUCCUGUCUGAAGCUGGGUCGACCACGAUCCAACCCUAAAUACUAAUACCAGAUCGAUAGUGCACAAGUACCGUGAGGGAAAGGUGAAAAGAACUGAGGUGAUCAGAGUGAAAUAGAACCUGAAACCAUUUGCUUACAAUCAUUCAGAGCCCUAUGUAGCAAUACAGGGUGAUGGACUGCCUUUUGCAUAAUGAGCCUGCGAGUUGUGGUGUCUGGCAAGGUUAAGCAAACGCGAAGCCGUAGCGAAAGCGAGUCUGAAUAGGGCGCUUAGUCAGAUGCUGCAGACCCGAAACGAAGUGAUCUAUCCAUGAGCAAGUUGAAGCUAGUGUAAGAACUAGUGGAGGACUGAACCCAUAGGCGUUGAAAAGCCCCGGGAUGACUUGUGGAUAGGGGUGAAAGGCCAAUCAAACUUCGUGAUAGCUGGUUCUCUCCGAAAUAUAUUUAGGUAUAGCGUUGUGUCGUAAUAUAAGGGGGUAGAGCACUGAAUGGGCUAGGGCAUACACCAAUGUACCAAACCCUAUCAAACUCCGAAUACCUUAUAUGUAAUCACAGCAGUCAGGCGGCGAGUGAUAAAAUCCGUCGUCAAGAGGGAAACAACCCAGACUACCAGCUAAGGUCCCUAAAUCUUACUUAAGUGGAAAACGAUGUGAAGUUACUUAAACAACCAGGAGGUUGGCUUAGAAGCAGCCAUCCUUUAAAGAAAGCGUAAUAGCUCACUGGUCUAGUGAUUUUGCGCGGAAAAUAUAACGGGGCUAAAGUAAGUACCGAAGCUGUAGACUUGCGCACAACUUAGAUUAUUUAAGUUUAGAAUAUGAGAAACUAAGUUAUAUGUUUAGUUAUAUUUUUACUGAUUUUUAUAGAGUAAAGAUAGAAAUAAAACUUAGUAAAAUCAGUAAAAAUAUUCUUAGAUUAAAGUUAAGUAGUUUAAGUUGUGUGCAAGUGGUAGGAGAGCGUUCUAUUUGCGCCGAAGGUAUACCGUAAGGAGUGCUGGAGCGAAUAGAAGUGAGCAUGCAGGCAUGAGUAGCGAUAAUUAAUGUGAGAAUCAUUAACGCCGUAAACCCAAGGUUUCCUACGCGAUGCUCGUCAUCGUAGGGUUAGUCGGGUCCUAAGUCGAGUCCGAAAGGGGUAGACGAUGGCAAAUUGGUUAAUAUUCCAAUACCAACAUUAGUGUGCGAUGGAAGGACGCUUAGGGCUAAGGGGGCUAGCGGAUGGAAGUGCUAGUCUAAGGUCGUAGGAGGUUAUACAGGCAAAUCCGUAUAACAAUACUCCGAGAACUGAAAGGCUUUUUGAAGUCUUCGGAUGGAUAGAAGAACCCCUGAUGCCGUCGAGCCAAGAAAAGUUUCUAAGUUUAGCUAAUGUUGCCCGUACCGUAAACCGACACAGGUGGGUGGGAUGAGUAUUCUAAGGCGCGUGGAAGAACUCUCUUUAAGGAACUCUGCAAAAUAGCACCGUAUCUUCGGUAUAAGGUGUGGUUCGCUUCGUAUUAGGAUUUACUCCGAAAGCGAAGAAACUUACAACAAAGAGUCCCUCCCGACUGUUUACCAAAAACACAGCACUCUGCUAACUCGUAAGAGGAUGUAUAGGGUGUGACGCCUGCCCGGUGCUCGAAGGUUAAUUGAUGGGGUUAGCAUUAGCGAAGCUCUUGAUCGAAGCCCGAGUAAACGGCGGCCGUAACUAUAACGGUCCUAAGGUAGCGAAAUUCCUUGUCGGUUAAAUACCGACCUGCAUGAAUGGCGUAACGAGAUGGGAGCUGUCUCAAAGAGGGAUCCAGUGAAAUUGUAGUGGAGGUGAAAAUUCCUCCUACCCGCGGCAAGACGGAAAGACCCCGUGGACCUU
RNAcentral lists this ribosomal RNA (2249 nucleotides) under Campylobacter coli. RNAcentral describes it as "partial 23S ribosomal RNA". It matches the Rfam family "Bacterial large subunit ribosomal RNA", at positions 1 to 2101 of the family's 2925-position model. Lineage: Bacteria; Pseudomonadati; Campylobacterota; Epsilonproteobacteria; Campylobacterales; Campylobacteraceae. The record is from RNAcentral.